Molecule: ribosomal RNA, 423 nt
Filed under: Klebsiella pneumoniae
Lineage: Bacteria; Pseudomonadati; Pseudomonadota; Gammaproteobacteria; Enterobacterales; Enterobacteriaceae
Description: partial 23S ribosomal RNA
Rfam family: Bacterial large subunit ribosomal RNA
Source: RNAcentral
CACCAAAAUGCACAGGCUGUGAACUCGAAGAGUAGGGCGGGACACGUGGUAUCCUGUCUGAAUAUGGGGGGACCAUCCUCCAAGGCUAAAUACUCCUGACUGACCGAUAGUGAACCAGUACCGUGAGGGAAAGGCGAAAAGAACCCCGGCGAGGGGAGUGAAAAAGAACCUGAAACCGUGUACGUACAAGCAGUGGGAGCACCUUCGGGUGUGACUGCGUACCUUUUGUAUAAUGGGUCAGCGACUUAUAUUCUGUAGCAAGGUUAACCGUAUAGGGGAGCCGCAGGGAAACCGAGUCUUAACUGGGCGUUAAGUUGCAGGGUAUAGACCCGAAACCCGGUGAUCUAGCCAUGGGCAGGUUGAAGGUUGGGUAACACUAACUGGAGGACCGAACCGACUAAUGUUGAAAAAUUAGCGGAUGAC